This 429-nucleotide ribosomal RNA is filed under the name bacterium. Its description in RNAcentral is "partial 16S ribosomal RNA". It matches the Rfam family "Bacterial small subunit ribosomal RNA", at positions 355 to 776 of the family's 1533-position model. The record is from RNAcentral.
UAGGGAAUCUUCCACAAUGGAUGCAAGUCUGAUGGAGCAACGCCGCGUGAGUGAAGAAGGUUUUCGGAUCGUAAAGCUCUGUUGUUGGUGAAGAAGGAUAGAGGUAGUAACUGGCCUUUAUUUGACGGUAAUCAACCAGAAAGUCACGGCUAACUACGUGCCAGCAGCCGCGGUAAUACGUAGGUGGCAAGCGUUGUCCGGAUUUAUUGGGCGUAAAGCGAGCGCAGGCGGAAGAAUAAGUCUGAUGUGAAAGCCCUCGGCUUAACCGAGGAACUGCAUCGGAAACUGUUUUUCUUGAGUGCAGAAGAGGAGAGUGGAAUUCCAUGUGUAGCUGUGGAAUGCGUAGAUAUAUGGAAGAACACCAGUGGCGAAGGCGACUCUCUGGUCUGCAACUGACGCUGAGGCUCGAAAGCAUGGGUAGCGAACAGG